UACGAAGGGGGCUAGCGUUGCUCGGAAUUACUGGGCGUAAAGGGCGCGUAGGCGGACAGUUUAGUCAGAGGUGAAAGCCCAGGGCUCAACCUUGGAACUGCCUUUGAUACUGACUGUCUUGAGUUCGGGAGAGGUGAGUGGAAUGCCGAGUGUAGAGGUGAAAUUCGUAGAUAUUCGGCGGAACACCAGUGGCGAAGGCGACUCACUGGCCAGAUACUGACGCUGAGGCGCGAAAGCGUGGGGAGCAAACAGG
This 253-nucleotide ribosomal RNA is filed under the name uncultured bacterium. RNAcentral's name for it is "partial 16S ribosomal RNA". It matches the Rfam family "Bacterial small subunit ribosomal RNA", at positions 524 to 776 of the family's 1533-position model. The record is from RNAcentral.